AAUACUUUUAGAUCUGUGUUGGUUUUGUGAUUAUUUUAAUGUUCUGUGAGAUUUAUAGAGAAAACGUAAUUUCUGUUUCAUAAUUAGGGCUUUUUGUUUGAUCUAAUCGGUUACUGAAUUAUGGUUUUGUUUGUAAGGAGAAUCCGAUUGCAAGCUCACCGGCGAAGGAAGCAUACAGGAAUCGGCUGGCGGACAGCCUCAACAUGGGAGUUAUGGAUUGGUUUGAUCCAAUUGCUGAUUCGACUACUAGCCAUCUCGAUCUGAUUCCCCACAUGGUUUAGGGGAGAAGUUUAAAACAACAGGACUAUGGAAGGAUAUACGGUGCUACAUUGACAGUCAACUCUACGGUUUGUAGGUUGAAGUUUGCUUAACACGCUUCAACCGUCGAACUUGGUGCACCUCAAU
Helianthus annuus (common sunflower) is the source of this 405-nucleotide long non-coding RNA. RefSeq lists it as uncharacterized. The record is from RefSeq and is a predicted model, not a curated record. The transcript is spliced from 4 exons. Lineage: Eukaryota; Viridiplantae; Streptophyta; Magnoliopsida; Asterales; Asteraceae.